RNAcentral lists this ribosomal RNA (240 nucleotides) under uncultured bacterium. Its description in RNAcentral is "partial 16S ribosomal RNA". It matches the Rfam family "Bacterial small subunit ribosomal RNA", at positions 355 to 611 of the family's 1533-position model. The record is from RNAcentral.
UGGGGAAUAUUGCACAAUGGGCGAAAGCCUGAUGCAGCAACGCCGCGUGAGUGAUGAAGGUCUUCGGAUUGUAAAGCUCUGUCUUUUGGGACGAUAAUGGACGGUACCAAAGGAGGAAGCCACGGCUAACUACGUGCCAGCAGCCGCGGUAAUACGUAGGUGGCGAGCGUUGUCCGGAUUUACUGGGCGUAAAGGGUGCGUAGGCGGAUGUUUAAGUGAGAUGUGAAAUACCCGGGCUUA